AAAAACUCCGGUGGUGUGAGAUGGAUCCGCGUCUGAUUAGCCAGUUGGCGGGGUAACGGCCCACCAAAGCGACGAUCAGUAGCCGGCCUGAGAGGGUGACCGGCCACAUUGGGACUGAGACACGGCCCAAACUCCUACGGGAGGCAGCAGUGGGGAAUAUUGCACAAUGGGCGAAAGCCUGAUGCAGCGACGCCGCGUGAGUGAAGAAGUAUUUCGGUAUGUAAAGCUCUAUCAGCAGGGAAGAAAAUGACGGUACCUGACUAAGAAGCCCCGGCUAACUACGUGCCAGCAGCCGCGGUAAUACGUAGGGGGCAAGCGUUAUCCGGAUUUACUGGGUGUAAAGGGAGCGUAGACGGCGAAGCAAGUCUGAAGUGAAAACCCAGGGCUCAACCCUGGGACUGCUUUGGAAACUGUUUUGCUGGAGUGUCGGAGAGGUAAGUGGAAUUCCUAGUGUAGCGGUGAAAUGCGUAGAUAUUAGGAGGAACACCAGUGGCGAAGGCGGCUUACUGGACGAUAACUGACGUUGAGGCUCGAAAGCGUGGGGAGCAAACAGGAUUAGAUGCCCUGGUAGUCCACGCCGUAAACGAUGAAUGCUAGGUGUUGGGGGGCAAAGCCCUUCGGUGCCGC
RNAcentral lists this ribosomal RNA (627 nucleotides) under uncultured bacterium. Its description in RNAcentral is "bacterial SSU rRNA". It matches the Rfam family "Bacterial small subunit ribosomal RNA", at positions 202 to 849 of the family's 1533-position model. The record is from RNAcentral.